UUGAAGAGUUUGAUCAUGGCUCAGAUUGAACGCUGGCGGCAGGCCUAACACAUGCAAGUCGAACGGUAACAGGAAGCAGCUUGCUGCUUUGCUGACGAGUGGCGGACGGGUGAGUAAUGUCUGGGAAACUGCCUGAUGGAGGGGGAUAACUACUGGAAACGGUGGCUAAUACCGCAUAACGUCGCAAGACCAAAGAGGGGGACCUUCGGGCCUCUUGCCAUCAGAUGUGCCCAGAUGGGAUUAGCUUGUUGGUGAGGUAACGGCUCACCAAGGCGACGAUCCCUAGCUGGUCUGAGAGGAUGACCAGCCACACUGGAACUGAGACACGGUCCAGACUCCUACGGGAGGCAGCAGUGGGGAAUAUUGCACAAUGGGCGCAAGCCUGAUGCAGCCAUGCCGCGUGUAUGAAGAAGGCCUUCGGGUUGUAAAGUACUUUCAGCGGGGAGGAAGGUGUUGUGGUUAAUAACCACAGCAAUUGACGUUACCCGCAGAAGAAGCACCGGCUAACUCCGUGCCAGCAGCCGCGGUAAUACGGAGGGUGCAAGCGUUAAUCGGAAUUACUGGGCGUAAAGCGCACGCAGGCGGUCUGUCAAGUCGGAUGUGAAAUCCCCGGGCUCAACCUGGGAACUGCAUUCGAAACUGGCAGGCUUGAGUCUUGUAGAGGGGGGUAGAAUUCCAGGUGUAGCGGUGAAAUGCGUAGAGAUCUGGAGGAAUACCGGUGGCGAAGGCGGCCCCCUGGACAAAGACUGACGCUCAGGUGCGAAAGCGUGGGGAGCAAACAGGAUUAGAUACCCUGGUAGUCCACGCCGUAAACGAUGUCUACUUGGAGGUUGUGCCCUUGAGGCGUGGCUUCCGGAGCUAACGCGUUAAGUAGACCGCCUGGGGAGUACGGCCGCAAGGUUAAAACUCAAAUGAAUUGACGGGGGCCCGCACAAGCGGUGGAGCAUGUGGUUUAAUUCGAUGCAACGCGAAGAACCUUACCUGGUCUUGACAUCCACGGAAGUUUUCAGAGAUGAGAAUGUGCCUUCGGGAACCGUGAGACAGGUGCUGCAUGGCUGUCGUCAGCUCGUGUUGUGAAAUGUUGGGUUAAGUCCCGCAACGAGCGCAACCCUUAUCCUUUGUUGCCAGCGGUCCGGCCGGGAACUCAAAGGAGACUGCCAGUGAUAAACUGGAGGAAGGUGGGGAUGACGUCAAGUCAUCAUGGCCCUUACGACCAGGGCUACACACGUGCUACAAUGGCGCAUACAAAGAGAAGCGACCUCGCGAGAGCAAGCGGACCUCAUAAAGUGCGUCGUAGUCCGGAUUGGAGUCUGCAACUCGACUCCAUGAAGUCGGAAUCGCUAGUAAUCGUGGAUCAGAAUGCCACGGUGAAUACGUUCCCGGGCCUUGUACACACCGCCCGUCACACCAUGGGAGUGGGUUGCAAAAGAAGUAGGUAGCUUAACCUUCGGGAGGGCGCUUACCACUUUGUGAUUCAUGACUGGGGUGAAGUCGUAACAAGGUAACCGUAGGGGAACCUGCGGUUGGAUCACCUCCUU
RNAcentral lists this ribosomal RNA (1538 nucleotides) under Salmonella enterica subsp. enterica serovar Senftenberg. Its description in RNAcentral is "16S ribosomal RNA". It matches the Rfam family "Bacterial small subunit ribosomal RNA". Lineage: Bacteria; Pseudomonadati; Pseudomonadota; Gammaproteobacteria; Enterobacterales; Enterobacteriaceae. RNAcentral also lists the same sequence under 2 other names. The record is from RNAcentral.